RNAcentral lists this unclassified non-coding RNA (403 nucleotides) under soil metagenome. Its description in RNAcentral is "partial contains 5.8S ribosomal RNA, internal transcribed spacer 2, and large subunit ribosomal RNA". The stretch from base 1 to 122 matches the Rfam family "5.8S ribosomal RNA", at positions 35 to 154 of the family's 154-position model. The record is from RNAcentral.
GAUGAAGAACGCAGCAAAAUGCGAUACUUGGUGUGAAUUGCAGAAUCCCGUGAACCAUCGAGUUUUUGAACGCAAGUUGCGCCCGAAGCCUUUUGGCCGAGGGCACGUCUGCCUGGGCGUCACGCAUCGCGUCGCCCCCCACAAUUCUCCGUAAAAGGAACAUGUGUUUUGGGGGCGGAUAUUGGUCUCCCGUGCUCAUGGCGUGGUUGGCCGAAAUAGGAGUCCUUUCGAUGGACGCACGAACUAGUGGUGGUCGUAAAAACCCUCGUCUUUUGUUUCGUGCUGUUGCUCGCAAGGUAAACUCUUUAAAAACCCCAAUGUGUCGUCUCUUGACGACGCUUCGACCGCGACCCCAGGUCAGGCGGGACUACCCGCUGAGUUUAAGCAUAUCAAUAACGGAGGA